Molecule: ribosomal RNA, 504 nt
Filed under: uncultured bacterium
Lineage: Bacteria
Description: bacterial SSU rRNA
Rfam family: Bacterial small subunit ribosomal RNA
Source: RNAcentral
AUUGAACGCUGGCGGCAUGCCUUACACAUGCAAGUCGAACGGUAACGGGCCUUCGGGUGCCGACGAGUGGCGAACGGGUGAGUAACACGUAGGAAUCUACCCUUAAGACGGGGACAACCCAGGGAAACUUGGGCUAAUACCGGAUGAGAGUGCGAGAGAUUGCAUUUAAAAGGAUGGCGAAAGUUGUCGCUUAGGGAUGAGCCUGCGGUCUAUUAGUUAGUUGGUGAGGUAAGAGCUCACCAAGGCGAUGAUAGAUAGGCGGCCUUAACGGGUGGUCGCCCACACUGGGAUUGAGAUACGGCCCAGACUCCUACGGGAGGCAGCAGUCGAGAAUAGUCUACAAUGGCCGGAAGGCUGAUAGUGCGACGCCGCGUGAACGAGGGAGCCCUUCGGGUGUAAAGUUCUUUUCUAUACGAGCAGUGCUAUAUAUAUGGAUAGUAUAUAUAGAGGGAUAGUAGUAUAGGAAUAAGCAACGGCUAACUCCGUGCCAGCAGCCGCGGUAAA